This 315-nucleotide ribosomal RNA is filed under the name uncultured Prevotella sp. RNAcentral's name for it is "bacterial SSU rRNA". It matches the Rfam family "Bacterial small subunit ribosomal RNA", at positions 28 to 339 of the family's 1533-position model. Lineage: Bacteria; Pseudomonadati; Bacteroidota; Bacteroidia; Bacteroidales; Prevotellaceae. The record is from RNAcentral.
GAUGAACGCUAGCGGCAGGCUUAACACAUGCAAGUCGAGGGGCAGCGCGAGGUAGCAAUACCUUGGCGGCGACCGGCGCACGGGUGCGUAACGCGUAUCGAACCUUCCCCUUACUCGGGAAUAGCCCGGUGAAAACCGAAUUAAUGCCCGAUAUGUAUUUGGAUGGCAUCAGAAGAGUAUGAAAGAUUUAUCGGUAAGGGAUGGCGAUGCGUAGGAUUAGGUAGUCGGCGGGGUAACGGCCCACCGAGCCUACGAUCCUUAGGGGUUCUGAGAGGAAGGUCCCCCACAUUGGAACUGAGACACGGUCCAAACUCC